GAUUUGCUCUAUGCGGGAAGAAUAACCACGGUAACCUGUGGCUAAGAGUGUAGAAUAAGGUGCAAUCCUAUUAGUUUGUUGGUAGUGUAAAGGACUACCAAGGCAGUGAUGGGUAACGGGAAAUCAGGGUUUGAUUCCGGAGAGGGAGCCUGAGAGAUGGCUCCCACGUCCAAGGAUGGCAGCAGGCGCGAAAAUUGUCCACUCUUUUGAGAGGAGACAGUUAUGAAACGUGAGUAGAAGGGUCGAGUGUAAAAACCUUGACGUGAAGCAAUUGGAGGGCAAGUUUUGGUGCCAGCAGCCGCGGUAAUUCCAACUCCAAGAGUGUCUAUGGUGGAUGCUGCAGUUAAAGGGUCCGUAGUCGUAGAUGCAAUUAAAAGGUGGUGUUAAAAGCCAUUGAGUUUGUUGAGAGUAGCGGAACGGAUAGGGAGCAUGGUAUAGGUGGGCAAAGAAUGAAAUCUCAAGACCCCACCUGGACCAACGGAGGCGAAAGCGAUGCUCUUAGACGUAUCUGGGGAUCAAGGACGAAGGCUAGAGUAUCGAAAGUGAUUAGACACCGCUGUAGUUCUAGCAGUAAACUAUGCCGACAAUGCUGGGUGUUGCGAGAGCGAUGCUUGGUGUGGGAGAAAUCUUAGUUUUCGGGCUCUGGGGAUAGUACGCUCGCAAGGGUGAAACUUAAAGCGAAAUUGACGGAAGGACACUACCAGGAGUGGAUUGUGCUGCUUAAUUUAACUCAACGCGGGAAAACUUACCAGGGUCAAGUCUAUCGUAGAUUGGAGACAUGAGGUAGACAAGAGUGGUGCAUGGCCGUUGGAAAUUGAUGGGGCGACUUUUAGCUUAAGUGCUGGAACCAGUGAGAUCUUCUAGACAGGUGUUAUUUAGGCACAGGAGGGAGAAGGCAAUAACAGGUCCGUGAUGCCCUUAGAUAUCCUGGGCAGCAAGCGCAAUACAAUAUCUCU
Molecule: ribosomal RNA, 956 nt
Filed under: Ecytonucleospora hepatopenaei
Lineage: Eukaryota; Fungi; Microsporidia; Enterocytozoonidae
Description: SSU rRNA
Rfam family: Microsporidia small subunit ribosomal RNA
Source: RNAcentral